AUUAUUAUAUUAAUAUUUGUAACUAAAAAAGUAGAGACAAAUCAUAGUGCUAGUCUUCCUUCACUUCACGUGUACUCAAUAAUUUCAUAAAUAAAGUGGAUGAACAUGAACCUGCACCAAACCGUGUGGACGAGAACAAAGGUGCCAAUAAUCUCAGCACCCAAAGUUGGUUGUCCAUGCUGUAGUCAAUAUAUAAACUAUUAAAUCUCCCACCAAAAAUAUAAUAUAUAAAGUAACUAAAAGCAAAUAACAAGCGAUUGAUAAGGAUAUGGUUGUCCAUGCUCCCAGUUGCUUUCUUAUCUCCACUAAUCUCUGAGUUCGAGUCCUCUUGCUGUUGGGGGGUUGAGGAAUAAUAUCUGAUGGUCUUUGAGGCUCUUGUCUUCUCUCUUCCUUUGAGAAGACAAGAGCUGAUAUUCAUGUAUGAGCCAUCAAGUUUCGCUAUCUAGAUCAACGACUCCUUUGAGAAGUCCAUGGCAACGCCAAUCUUCCUACCCUUUCCCAUUCUGAUCUCUCUCUCUCUCUCUCUCUCUCUCUCUCUCUCUUCUGCACCAGUUGGGUUAUUUUGAUCGGACAAGAAGGCACAGUUGUGGCGUGUGAAAGUUCAAAAGACAGAAAAGCAGAGAAAGAGGAUGGUUUUGACUGAAUGGGUUUUGUUUAUUUGGUUAAAAGCUUAAAACUUUUGGAUCUGUGACUUCCACGUGUGACUUUGUGAUUUGGCUUGGCUUGUAGUUUUGUACAUGGGUUUGCAUUCUUCUCUGCUAUGGUUACGGAAAAAGGAGCUGGGCCUUUAGUGAAUGGCUGUGGAAAAAUCUGACCAAGAAGAAGCACUUUGAUGGGAUUUAUGUAUUAUAAUAAAUAAAUAAAUAAACUUUUCAAAACAGCAAAAGUGAAUGCGGCUUGAAUUUCAAUUGGCUGGUCAAGAAGGAAAGACCAACCAAACCAAGCCCAGUGAAAAAUCAUUGCCUCCGUUGUAUUCCUUCAGCUCCAUAAUGAGAAAUUUCUUCAGAGACUGGCAAACCGAGCCCGACUUGUGAUCCAUACAAGCCAUGGGGUUCUGUAGCUUUCCAUUGUGGAUUCAUCCCCAAAAUUGUGCAUAAUCACUAUAUACGACUUCAAACAGCCAAGGUUUAGAAACAGAGAGAGAUGGGUUGGUGAGUAAAAAGUCAGAAAUUGGUUCUGAUGCCAGAAGAAAUAGGUACAGAUGAGAGUGAUAGAGAGCAAUCAUUGAAACCAAACCCAAGAAAGAAAAGUAAUGAAGCAGAGUGUUUUGAUCGAAUAUCCCAGCUGGUAUUUUCAGAGAUAUUCGUACUGAUAACGUGUUACAAAUCUAAAGGAAUUAUAGAGAGAAUUGAGGUAUAGAGAAAAUAUAGAAAUCUGAUAUUUUGUUGAAUUCUUUUUCUGUCCAUUACAAAGGAAGGUUGAACCUUUUUGUAGACAAAGCCCCUUCCAAUAUGUGGGCUCUACCUUGUCAUCUUACAACACCAUAUAAGUAUUUUCUUGUUUAAAAACCUGCAUUAAACAAAAGCCAGACUUCAUGGCUAGCUAUGUGAAUUUUGUGGUAUUGGAAGCCCUGGG
This 1575-nucleotide long non-coding RNA is filed under the name Prunus dulcis (almond). RNAcentral describes it as "sRNA ncRNA". The record is from RNAcentral. Lineage: Eukaryota; Viridiplantae; Streptophyta; Magnoliopsida; Rosales; Rosaceae.